RNAcentral lists this ribosomal RNA (679 nucleotides) under uncultured bacterium. Its description in RNAcentral is "bacterial SSU rRNA". It matches the Rfam family "Bacterial small subunit ribosomal RNA", at positions 8 to 730 of the family's 1533-position model. The record is from RNAcentral.
AGAGUUGUAUCCUGGCUCAGGAUGAACGCUGGCGGUAUGCUUUACACAUGCAAGUCGUACGAGAGUUUUGAACUCAAGUGGCGGACGGGUGAGUAACACGUAAGAAUUUACCUUUAGGAGGGGGACAACAACUAGAAAUGGUUGCUAAUACCCCAUAUGCUUUCGAGUGAAAUGGAUUUCCGCCUAAAGAGAAGCUUGCGGCUGAUUAGCUUGUUGGUAAGGUAAUGGCUUACCAAGGCGACGAUCAGUAUCUGGUUUGAGAGGACGAUCAGACACACUGGAACUGAGACACGGUCCAGACUCCUACGGGAGGCAGCAGUGGGGAAUUUUCCGCAAUGGGCGAAAGCCUGACGGAGCAACGCCGCGUGAGGGAUGAAGGCCUCUGGGCUGUAAACCUCUUUUAUCAAGGAAGAAGAUCUGACGGUACUUGAUGAAUAAGCCACGGCUAAUUCCGUGCCAGCAGCCGCGGUAAUACGGGAGUGGCAAGCGUUAUCCGGAAUUAUUGGGCGUAAAGCGUCCGCAGGCGGUCUGUCAAGUCUGCUGUUAAAGCGUGGAGCUUAACUCCAUUUCGGCAGUGGAAACUGACAGACUAGAGUGUGGUAGGGGCAGAGGGAAUUCCCGGUGUAGCGGUGAAAUGCGUAGAUAUCGGGAAGAACACCAGUGGCGAAGGCGCUCUGCU